UACAGGGGGUGCAAGCGUUGCUCGGAAUUAUUGGGCGUAAAGCGCGCGUAGGCGGCUACUUAUGUCGGAUGUGAAAGCCCUUGGCUCAACUGAGGAAGUGCACCCGAAACUGAGUAGCUGGAGUACGAAAGAGGGUCGCGGAAUUCCCGGUGUAGAGGUGAAAUUCGUAGAUAUCGGGAGGAACACCGGUGGCGAAGGCGGCGACCUGGGUCGAUACUGACGCUGGAGCGCGAAAGCGUGGGGAGCAAACAGG
This 253-nucleotide ribosomal RNA is filed under the name uncultured bacterium. RNAcentral describes it as "partial 16S ribosomal RNA". It matches the Rfam family "Bacterial small subunit ribosomal RNA", at positions 524 to 776 of the family's 1533-position model. The record is from RNAcentral.